AUUGAACGCUGGCGGCAGGCCUAACACAUGCAAGUCGAGCGGAUGAAGGGAGCUUGCUCCUGGAUUCAGCGGCGGACGGGUGAGUAAGCCUAGGAAUCUGCCUGGUAGUGGGGGAUAACGUCCGGAAACGGGCGCUAAUACCGCAUACGUCCUGAGGGAGAAAGUGGGGGAUCUUCGGACCUCACGCUAUCAGAUGAGCCUAGGUCGGAUUAGCUAGUUGGUGGGGUAAAGGCCUACCAAGGCGACGAUCCGUAACUGGUCUGAGAGGAUGAUCAGUCACACUGGAACUGAGACACGGUCCAGACUCCUACGGGAGGCAGCAGUGGGGAAUAUUGGACAAUGGGCGAAAGCCUGAUCCAGCCAUGCCGCGUGUGUGAAGAAGGUCUUCGGAUUGUAAAGCACUUUAAGUUGGGAGGAAGGGCAGUAAGUUAAUACCUUGCUGUUUUGACGUUACCAACAGAAUAAGCACCGGCUAACUUCGUG
Molecule: ribosomal RNA, 483 nt
Filed under: uncultured bacterium
Lineage: Bacteria
Description: partial 16S ribosomal RNA
Rfam family: Bacterial small subunit ribosomal RNA
Source: RNAcentral